CUUCCAGACUCCUACGGGAGGCAGCAGUGAGGAAUAUUGGUCAAUGGACGCAAGUCUGAACCAGCCAUGCCACGUGCAGGAUGACGGCUCUAUGAGUUGUAAACUGCUUUUGUACGAGGGUAAACCCCGAUACGUGUAUCGGGUUGAAAGUAUCGUACGAAUAAGGAUCGGCUAACUCCGUGCCAGCAGCCGCGGUAAUACGGAGGAUCCGAGCGUUAUCCGGAUUUAUUGGGUUUAAAGGGUGCGUAGGCGGUUUGAUAAGUUAGAGGUGAAAUGUCGGGGCUCAACCCCGAAACUGCCUCUAAUACUGUUGGACUAGAGAAUAGUUGCGGUAGGCGGAAUGCGUGGUGUAGCGGUGAAAUGCAUAGAUAUCACGCAGAACCCCGAUUGCGAAGGCAGCAUACCGGCGCCCUACUGACGCUGAGGCACGAAAGUGCGGGUAUCGAACAGGAUUAGAUACCCCUGUA
Molecule: ribosomal RNA, 467 nt
Filed under: uncultured bacterium
Lineage: Bacteria
Description: bacterial SSU rRNA
Rfam family: Bacterial small subunit ribosomal RNA
Source: RNAcentral